UGGGGAAUCUUGGACAAUGGGCGCAAGCCUGAUCCAGCCAUGCCGCGUGAUGGACGAAGUGCUUCGGCACGUAAACAUCUUUUAUGUGGGAUGAAAUUAUUGACAGUACCACAUGAAUAAGGGGCUCCUAACUCUGUGCCAGCAGGAGCGGUAAUACAGAGGCCCCAAGCGUUAUCCGGAAUCACUGGGCGUAAAGGGUGUCGAGGCGGUUGUAUUAGUCGUUCGUAAAAUCUACGAGCUUAACUUGUAGGCGGCGAACGAAACGGUACGACUUGAGGUUUGGAGAGGUGCGUGGAACUCACGGUGUAGGGGUGAAAUCCGUUGAUAUCGUGGGGAACACCAAAGGCGAAGGCAGCGCACUGGCCAAAAUCUGACGCUCACACACGAAAGCUAGGGUAGCGAAGAGGAUUAGAUACCCUUGUAGUCCCUGAGCGGGCUGGCAAGGCGCAU
RNAcentral lists this ribosomal RNA (450 nucleotides) under uncultured bacterium. RNAcentral describes it as "bacterial SSU rRNA". It matches the Rfam family "Bacterial small subunit ribosomal RNA", at positions 355 to 825 of the family's 1533-position model. The record is from RNAcentral.